Molecule: ribosomal RNA, 253 nt
Filed under: uncultured bacterium
Lineage: Bacteria
Description: partial 16S ribosomal RNA
Rfam family: Bacterial small subunit ribosomal RNA
Source: RNAcentral
UACGUAGGGUGCAAGCGUUAAUCGGAAUUACUGGGCGUAAAGCGUGCGCAGGCGGUUUUGUAAGUCUGUCGUGAAAGCCCCGGGCUCAACCUGGGAAUUGCGAUGGAGACUGCAAGGCUUGAAUCUGGCAGAGGGGGGUAGAAUUCCACGUGUAGCCGUGAAAUGCGUAGAGAUGUGGAGGAACACCGAUGGCGAAGGCAGCCCCCUGGGUCAAGAUUGACGCUCAUGCACGAAAGCGUGGGGAGCAAACAGG